CGCGCAGGCGGCCUAUCAAGUCAGGCGUGAAAGCCCCGGGCUUAACCUGGGAAUUGCGCUUGGGACUGGAAGGCUGGAGUUCGGGAGAGGAGAGUGGAAUUCCCAGUGUAGAGGUGAAAUUCGUAGAUAUUGGGAAGAACACCGGUGGCGAAGGCGGCUCUCUGGACCGAUACUGACGCUGAGGCGCGAAAGCGUGGGGAGCAAACAGGAUUAGAUACCCUGGUAGUCCACGCUGUAAACGAUGUGCGCUAGACGUUGGGAGGCGUAGCCUUCCGGUGUCGCAGCUAACGCUUUAAGCGCACCGCCUGGGGAGUACGGCCGCAAGGUUAAA
Molecule: ribosomal RNA, 331 nt
Filed under: uncultured bacterium
Lineage: Bacteria
Description: bacterial SSU rRNA
Rfam family: Bacterial small subunit ribosomal RNA
Source: RNAcentral